GUAAGCGUGCGCAGGCGGUUUUGUAAGUCUGUCGUGAAAUCCCCGGGCUCAACCUGGGAAUGGCGAUGGAGACUGCAAGGCUAGAGUUUGGCAGAGGGGGGUAGAAUUCCACGUGUAGCAGUGAAAUGCGUAGAUAUGUGGAGGAACACCGAUGGCGAAGGCAGCCCCCUGGGUCAAGACUGACGCUCAUGCACGAAAGCGUGGGGAGCAAACAGGAUUAGAUACCCAGU
This 230-nucleotide ribosomal RNA is filed under the name uncultured bacterium. Its description in RNAcentral is "partial 16S ribosomal RNA". It matches the Rfam family "Bacterial small subunit ribosomal RNA", at positions 563 to 790 of the family's 1533-position model. The record is from RNAcentral.